Uranotaenia lowii is the source of this 9997-nucleotide RNA transcript. It is a transcript of the gene named RIB43A-like with coiled-coils protein 2, with no coding region annotated. The record is from RefSeq and is a predicted model, not a curated record. Lineage: Eukaryota; Metazoa; Arthropoda; Insecta; Diptera; Culicidae. The transcript is spliced from 5 exons.
AUUUUGUUCUGAGCGUGUAGUGAUUGAGUCAAAAAUAGACCAAAGAUGAGUGUAUAGAAGUAAGAGUGUAACCAUAACUGUCAAACGCGCACAUGGGAAAACAACAAUCAACAAAUCAAAACAACAGCAACCGAAGAAGAAAAUUUGGAUUUCGAUUCGUCAUCGCAGUGAAAGCAUUAUUACUGAAAAUCCGCCAUCUGCUCACAUCCCAGAGUCGCUGCCAGAAUUGAAGGAGGAAAUAUCCGUAUUGUUCGUCAAUAAGGCAGCGGAUAAAUAAGUGCUCCCCGGGUGGUCAGUAGAAACGGAAACCGAGCGAGGUAGCGAAGGUAGCAGCAAUCCGUCGUCACCGAUUCCAGUAGAAAGCUGUGGAGGACUUGCAAUUGCUGCUGCUAAGACGGAAUCCGAGUCUCCUAUUGCCAGAUUAGCCGGAAGGACAUACAACCAAAGCUCAGAUUGCUGAAGACUUUGGUGGCGAAGGGCAAAGAGGAAAAGAAGGAGAAAGAAACCUUCACAGCCUCGAGACAAGGCAAAGGUGAGUCUAACCAUAAAAACCCCUCCUAUACUCAGUAAAGUAGCUGCUCGUUAUUGUAGUGUCGGGUGCCCAGCAAACCACAUUACGGACGGUAGCCAUAAAUUUAGCGAAAUUACCAACGGCCCCAUUGGGUGAGUGCCUUAUUAUCGUACUGCAUGAGCCAAUCUUAAAGUAGCGAUGAAUUUUAAUAGGGUCGUUUUUGGGAGCUGAGCCAAACGCUUUUCGGGACUCGAUUUUCGCCAUCUUGGUUUUGCGAGUCCCGUUUUUGCGAAAUCAAGCUGCGGACGUUGCGAGAGCCAGCCGGAAGUAGGCGGAAGUGCUCCGGGCAGCUGUGGUACGCCCGUCGAAGCAGUGCAGCCAGGCAGGGUUGCCAGUUCUACAGAAAAUCCGUGAUAUUAAGCUGUGAUACACCUGUGCCGUCCGAGCUGUGAUAUGAUUGUUGUUAUUGUUUGGAUGUUAGGGUAGGAAACGGGCCCGUGAGUAAUAAUGUAAGCUAGCUUAAGUUUUUAAAAUGUCGUGUGUAAGUAAAUAAUUAGAGAGUUGUCAAAGGAAUAUCGAAAUUAUUCACCGUCAAAUUGGUCCUGCCAAAACAACAUCGAAUAUUGAUAUUCUCAAAGCUUUGUAUUCAAGAUUGGCACAUUAUAAGUCGCGAUUGGCCAUCAUUGCGCCACCAGAUUUUCUUAUGGAAACCUUGUCGUCACUUCGUAUUCUAGUAGAUAUGUUGCUAGCGGAUAUUGAUCUUGUGAUAAAUCCAGUGCUACCAGUGCAAACAAGUGGAGUGAGUACGGUAUAUGAGGAGACUUGUUCGAAUGAAGCAGAAGGUGGUCAAAAUUCAGCGUUGUCAGCAAGAUCGGAGAAAACACCCACUCCACCAGGUUUCCACGUCAGAGAGCCAGAACAGCAGCAUCAAGAGAGACCCCAGCAACAUCUAAGACAGCCAGCAGCCGGAGAGCCUUUCCAGCAUCAGCAGCUUCAUGCAGUACUGAAUCAACAACGCGAGCAGAUAAAUACAGAGCUUAAAAAUUUUGAAGAUUUGAAGCAGCAACAGCAGGAGAUCAACCGGUACAGGCAGGCACAGGCAACACAAGUUGUUGCAUCGGCAUUUCAACAACAACAGCAACUAGAUUUGGUGGAACAACAACAACAAUUGAUACGGCAGCUGCAAAACAGAAAUCAGCAAUUAGAGCAGGCAAAUCGACUGUUGCAGAGACAAAAUAAUCGACAACAACAGCAACCAUCACACCAAGAGGAAGUAGUUCGUCGCAUACCUAAGGGUAUUCACAAUUGGCCAUUCAGAUUCCGGGGCCAGCAUGAUACAACCUCUUUGAAUGUUUUUUUGGACAGAGUUGAGGCGUAUGCAUCUUCAGAGAACGUGGACGAAGGAACUUUACUAGCCAACGUGAAACACCUACUGGAAAAAUCAGCUCAAGAUUGGUACACCCAUGCAUUUUUCGAAGGCCGACUGACGUCAUGGGAGGAGUUUAAGAUAGAAAUACGCAGGGAGUUUCUGCCGAGUAGUUACUCUCAAAUUCUUCGCCUGGAAGUCUCUUAUCGUUUUCAAGGGCAAAACGAAUCGUUUGCAGAGUUUUAUCGUGCUAUUUCAAUGCUGUUUCGCUUCAUUACGCCGCCGAUGUCAGAGGAGGACAAGAUCUUUAUUAUUAAGAAAAACAUGUGUGUAGAUUACGCCAUCAUCGUUGCAGCAGCAAACCCGACAACAGUGAAUGAGUUGGUGAGAAUAUGCUCCAGUUACGACGACACACGCAGGCUAUUGAAUUGUCAACGCAAAAUUCCACUCCCACACAGCAGCUUGCUGGAGCCGAACUUUGCAACCCCGGUUCAACAACAGCGAUCGAAUGUCCCACCGACCAAUCAACGCUUCAGCCGAGUGAACACAAUAGAAGAAGAAGAGCCCACGUUUUCUUCCGAUGCAACGCAACAAUCGGAACACGAGGAAUUGCAAGCGAAAAUCGAGGACCUGGAACAGCAAGUAUGUGCUUUCAAGAUGCAGCUCAAUAAGCAACGAGUAGAAGGAAGACCAAUGGGUGUGAGAAGCCAAGAACAGAUGAAAUCUCUCCAACGGCAGCCAGACCAACAGUUUCGUCUUCUCCGCAGACAACCAGAACUUCAACAAGCUUCUUCGCAAUGGUUAGGAAACCCAGUUGCUCAGACGUACUCUCAUGAGACGGUUAUAUAGACAAGCAUCAAACCCACAGCCGCAACUCUCCGUAAGAUCGCAACACUUUCAAGAAGCAAUACCGCAAGAUAGUCAACGAAACGCUUCGGAGCAGCAGCUCCAACAACACCAAGCAGCCUCGGGAAGUCUAUUGAAAGUUUGUUGGAAUUGCGACGAGGAAGGCCAUCGCUUCACAGACUGUCCGAGACCACAGGCCAUAUUAUUUUGCUAUCGCUGCGGUAGAAAGGGCUAUUCGCUACGUAGUUGCUUUACUUGUCGCACAGAUUCGGGAAACUUGGCAGCGGAGAAUCGCCAAUAGAGGGAAGCCAUUCUUCGUCUCUUGUAUAUCCCUCAACCAUCUUUGAUUUCCAUUUCCUUCACUCGAUCAUCAUUAACACUGGAGUCGAUAAUCGACCACACGCAAAAAAUUAAAAUCCGUGAAAAAGAAUUCACUGCACUUUUGGAUAGUGGAGCUACCUGUUCACUGCUAGGAGGAAAAAUGACAAGAUUAGUUGAAGAACUGAACUUGCCGGAAGAAACUAUAAAUGGAGGAAUUCGUACUGCAGAUGGAACAAAACAUGCCGUGCAGGGUUUUGUAAGGCUGCCUAUUGAAUACAAUAAUCGGAAAAGCAAUUUACCUCUUUUGAUUAUACCAAGCAUUCCUGAUUGUAUAAUUCUCGGAAUGAAUUUUUGGGAAAAAUUUGGAGUUAAAGCCAUUUGCUGCAUGGCCGAACAUAUAGUUGACAGCAAAAACGACGAACCAAUGAAGCAACUGUCGCCUGAAGAGAAAGUGCAACUAGAUGCCGUGAUAUCAAAAUUUCCAGUGGCAACAGAAGGGCAUUUAGGAAGAACCACUUUAUAUGUCCACAAGAUUGAUGUGGGAGGAGCAAUACCACGAAAACAACGCUACUACACGAUGUCACCAUACGUUCUAGAUGAAAUCAAUAAAGAAAUUGAUAGAAUGCUUUCGUUAGACGUUAUUGAAGAGGCACAAUUCUCUCCAUGGAACAAUCCUCUGGUGGCGGUAAAGAAGAAAACCGGGAACUACAGGGUAUGCCUGGACGCUCGUUACCUUAAUUCCAUUAUGGUUAAUGAAGGGUACCCCAUACCACAGAUCUCAGCCAUAAUCAACAAUCUAGGCAAUUGCAGUUACAUCACUUCAAUCGACCUGAAAGAUGCGUUCUGGCAGCUACCACUAGAAAAAAGUUCUCGUCCGCUGACUGCCUUUACUGUACCUCAACGGGGACAUUAUCAGUUCAAAGUUGUUCCUUUUGGGUUAUGCACAGCGAGUCAGGCAUUAUCGAGGGUAAUGACACACCUUUUUGCAGAUCUGGAACCACAAGUAUUUUGUUAUCUGGAUGACAUUAUAAUAUGCUCCCAAACGUUCGAAGAACAUCUUCAAUUACUUACCGAGGUAUCAAACCGUUUAAAAAGGGCUAAUUUGACCAUUUCAAAAGAAAAGUCCAAGUUUUGUAGAGCUGAAUUAAAAUAUCUUGGCUUCGUUCUGAACGAGAAAGGAUGGAACGUAGAUCCAGAGAAAAUCAGCUGCAUCAUAAGUUUUCCAACCCCCACAACAAGGAAAGAACUACAACGUUUUCUUGGCUUAAGCAACUGGUAUCGCCGUUUUAUUGAGAACUUCUCGGAAAUAGCAGCGCCGUUAACUGAGCUCACCAAAACUAAGGCAAAGUUUAGAUGGAACACUGGAGCGGAACAAGCAUUCGAAAAACUGAAAAAAGCCCUUACUUCUGCACCUGUCUUAGCAAUGCCAAACUAUAACAAGCCGUUUGCGAUAGCCUGUGAUGCAAGUGAUAUUGCAAUAGGAGCGGUCCUGACGCAGGAGUUCGAGGGACAAGAGCAUCCGAUUUGUUACUUUUCUCAAAAACUGUCGUCCUCGGAACGUAAAUACUCGGUAACAGAAAGAGAAUGUCUAGCCGUUAUUAGAGCCAUUGAAAAGUUCAGAGGGUUCAUAGAGGGGAUUAAGUUCACAGUGUAUUGUGAUCAUGCAGCACUAAGUUAUCUUAGGUCCCUGAAGAAUCCUACCGCACUCAUGAGUCGUUGGCUACUCCGCUUGAACGCGUUUGAUUUCAACAUCAAAUACCGCAAAGGCACAGUGAACGUCGUCCCCGAUGCACUAUCCAGAAUUGUUCCAGACAGCGUUCUGGCAGUAACAACAGAAGCAGAUUCCUGGUACACGCGGUUGAAGGAACAGGUAAAGCAAAACGCAAGCAAUUUUCCGGACUUCAAGCUGAUUGACAAAGAGUUAUACAAAAACUGCAAGUGCAAAGAUGAGUUGGGAACGGUUACGCAUAGAUGGAAGAAGAUUGUUCCGAAGAACGAGCGGUUGGAUAUGAUCCGAAGGUUCCAUGACUCGACAUCGUCAGCGCACUUGGGUCUCAUGAAAACUCUCCACAAAAUACAGACCUUCUACUACUGGCCUAAGAUGGCUGAGGAUGUAGCAGCAUACAUCAGGACAUGCGAUAUUUGUAAGGCGAGCAAAGCAUCGAACACUGCGAUGAUGCCAACCAUGGGAGCGGCGAAACCUGCACGACUUCCUUGGGAAUUAAUCUCGGUCGAUUUUGUCGGCCCCUUAACCAGAUCAAAAGCAGGAAACACAGUAAUGUUGGUCGUAGUAGACUGGGUGACCAAGUACAUAAUAGUCCAUCCCAUGCGCGCGGCAGACUCGGUCAAAAUGGUGGAUUUUUUGGAAAAGCAGGUAUUCCUGAAGUUCUCGAGGCCACGAAUCAUCUUAUCGGACAACGGGAAACAAUUUUUAUCGUCAGCGUUUAAAGCUCUGUUGGCAAAACACCACAUCACACACAUGACAACAGCUUACUACUGUCCGAUGGUGAACAAUGCUGAGCGGGUUAACCGGGUGCUCAUAACUUGCAUCAGGGCGUUAAUCGAAGAGGACCAUCGGAACUGGGACGCCUACCUAGCGGCCAUCACGGCAGCUAUAAAUAGCGCUAAACAUGAAGUUACGGGAAUAAGUCCUCACCAUGCAAAUUUUGGUAGAGACUUAGUGCUUCACACGGAUCUGUACACACAACAGGCAAUCAAUACACCGAAAGAUCCCAAAGUAGCUCAGGAAGUACGUUUGUCAUCAAUCCGCCGUAUACACGAAUUCAUCCAGCAACGCAUUAAAAACAACCACACAAAAUCAAAGCAACGAUACGACGUCAAUAAGAAACCAGCUACAUUUCUUGUGGGUGACUUGGUGUGGCGUCGCAACUUUACCCUCUCAUCGAAGGCGGACCACAUCAAUAGAAAAUUGGACCCCAAAUUUGUACCGGCGAUGGUUAGGAAAAUUCUGGGCACCAACCUCUACGAACUGGAAGAUGUCCAAUCAGGAAAACAGGGUCGGUAUCAUGCUAAAGACAUGAAAGCCGACUAGUAAAAAUUCAAGCUAUGUAAGCAGUUGCUGACAACACACACACAAAAUACGACAUUGAGACGGCUGAUGGACCUACAUACACACAUUGAAACCUCGCCUCCAAUCCUAUCGGACCACGACAACACGUUCCUGACGCCGAACUAGCGUUGAAUUGCGCUUGGGAUAUUGGAAUGCUGGAAAUCCUGGAAAGUACAGCAGCUCCAAACACCACGUCGCUGCAGUCAAAGGGAUUGUCAGGACAACAUCAAGAACCCCGCGGAUUACAGUUUUGCGCAGAAGUCGUGCGGAGUAGACUUCAUGACGGCCGCUACUACCAUAUCGACUCUCUGCCGCAAACUACCAAUACCGCCAUGUUCCAGCUAUGACGCAGAUCAACCACCAUUUGUGAACCACUACGCUCAAUGCGCUAAAAACACCGUUAGCCGAUCGGGAAAAAUCGUGCCACCAUCGAGGGCAUUUAGCAGGAUCAUCGCUCGCUAUCUCCUCGAAUUAUCACAGCUAUGACGACAGGCUAGGCCUGUGAACGACUGCGUUAUCGCCGAAAACACCGUUGCCGAUCGGGACAAAUCGAGCCAUCGUCAAGCGCAGCGAGCAACAACACCUUUCACUACCUCCUCGCUUGACGACUAUACAGCUACGUCCAUCACCAAGGGUGAUCAACAAAGAGAUCUUCUUAGACUCAGCAAACACGCACAGCGUCAAUCACCACACUACACCGAACGUGACAGUAUGCCCGACUAGAGCAUUGGUUAACGCCUUCGCAAGCGGAUAGAGCUCAUCCGCAGCGACAGUGCGGAAUUCACGCUGCAAAUCUGCUCCCCGAGCGACAGCAGUAAUUUCCUCGACAUGGACAACACAUACUGAAGCAGUACGGAGUGUGCAGGUAUCGUCUGGACAGGCUCCUCAGUAAAUGGAGGUCAAAAACAGGACCAUGCAGACCGAGAAUACCCGGAAAUGACUCCUCAGCGCCAAGGCGCUUCCCGUUCACGAACCGAGAAAAAUCGUACUCUGUGGGCUGGACGCAGUUCACAGAGAGUUUCGAAUAGAGACAGCGUUGGUUUGUCAAAGCUAGGCGAAUCAAUGCAUCACCGAUAUAGACACCUUUCUACCCGCAAGGCCUCCCGCGGGCUAGCCGUUAGUCAGGGCGAGAGAAACUGACCGUGUUCAUGCUAAACGCAAACACGCCGUUACUGGAACGUGACAAACCAGCAAGAAGCUCUCUUGAGCGCGAUCCGUUAGUCAGGGCGAGAGAAACUGACCGUGUACAUGCCUCGCGCUGUCACGCCGUUACUGGAACGUGACAAACCAGCAAAUCCAGCUAUGCACGCAGAAACACGACUGCCAACAACGGAUGACCACUCCACGAAAAUCCGGACAGACAGACCGUUUGCCGAUCGGAACAAAUCGAGCCGCGGAGAGCAACAUCUGGACAACAGCACCAUUAAACCAGCUAUGAGCUACACCAGCUACGAAGAUAACACCAAAAUACAACCUUGGAACAAAACAACAAACCGUACUAAUCUGGAAUGGUGUCACUACAUACGAGGUGAAUCCAGUGUUCGAACCACAUGCUGAACUAGUCCUAAUUUUAGGGGGAGUAGCAUAAACGGGGUCGUCAAGAAAACCCUCCAUUCAAAAGCAACGCGAUCUGGAGGCGCGGUAUAACCUCCAUUCGGGCUCUUGGCGAUCAGGGAACUAAAUUCUCCCUUUCCACGGAUUUGCUGCUUUUCCCUCCUUUUAUAUCACCAUAUUUUUUAACCUCUUUUUAAUUUUUAUAUUUGUUCAAUGUUUUGUGUUUUUGAGCAAAUUCGUAAUGUUUAAGCUACUGUUUUGUGUUUGUAACCGUAGCGGAGGCAAGAAUUUGAAAGCUGGUACAGGAACGGUCAGAGACGAUUUGCCAAGACUCGUUGGCGUUCGGUCAAGUCUUCCAGAAGUCGCUGGAGUAGUAUUUUCGAUUUGGGCCUUUAAGUUUCGAUCUGGCAAGCAUUGUUGUGGCUUGCGAAGUUUCGUGGUUGCCUUAGGGUGGCCAGACCGAUGUCUCUGAUCGUUGCCUAGGUAUAGAGGUUUUUGAAUUUUUCAUGAAUCGUUGUCUCCGAUUCAUGAAAAAUUCUUCCGUUGCGGUAGUGUAUGUAGCAUUAUAAUUAAGUUUGUCUAGCUAUUUUGUUCUGAGCGUGUAGUGAUUGAGUCAAAAAUAGACCAAAGAUGAGUGUAUAGAAGUAAGAGUGUAACCAUAACUGUCAAACGCGCACAUGGGAAAACAACAAUCAACAAAUCAAAACAACAGCAACCGAAGAAGAAAAUUUGGAUUUCGAUUCGUCAUCGCAGUGAAAGCAUUAUUACUGAAAAUCCGCCAUCUGCUCACAUCCCAGAGUCGCUGCCAGAAUUGAAGGAGGAAAUAUCCGUAUUGUUCGUCAAUAAGGCAGCGGAUAAAUAAGUGCUCCCCGGGUGGUCAGUAGAAACGGAAACCGAGCGAGGUAGCGAAGGUAGCAGCAAUUCGUCGUCACCGAUUCCAGUAGAAAGCUGUGGAGGACUUGCAAUUGCUGCUGCUAAGGUGAGAUGAAAAUUGCCCUGCGAGUAACGGUAUAACGGAGUGUGGUAUUGUUUACAGACGGAAUCCGAGUCUCCUAUUGCCAGAUUAGCCGGAAGGACAUACAACCAAAGCUCAGGUAAAACAACAUUCGUCCUUCGAGAAUUAUCCUCUCUAAACCCAGCAUUUUGCCGUAGAUUGCUGAAGACUUUGGUGGCGAAGGGCAAAGAGGAAAAGAAGGAGAAAGAAACCUUCACAGCCUCGAGACAAGGCAAAGGUGAGUCUAACCAUAAAAACCCCUCCUAUACUCAGUAAAGUAGCUGCUCGUUAUUGUAGUGUCGGGUGCCCAGCAAACCACAUUACGGACGGUAGCCAUAAAUUUAGCGAAAUUACCAACGGCCCCAUUGGGUGAGUGCCUUAUUAUCGUACUGCAUGAGCCAAUCUUAAAGUAGCGAUGAAUUUUAAUAGGGUCGUUUUUGGGAGCUGAGCCAAACGCUUUUCGGGACUCGAUUUUCGCCAUCUUGGUUUUGCGAGUCCCGUUUUUGCGAAAUCAAGCUGCGGACGUUGCGAGAGCCAGCCGGAAGUAGGCGGAAGUGCUCCGGGCAGCUGUGGUACGCCCGUCGAAGCAGUGCAGCCAGGCAGGGUUGCCAGUUCUACAGAAAAUCCGUGAUAUUAAGCUGUGAUACACCUGUGCCGUCCGAGCUGUGAUAUGAUUGUUGUUAUUGUUUGGAUGUUAGGGUAGGAAACGGGCCCGUGAGUAAUAAUGUAAGCUAGCUUAAGUUUUUAAAAUGUCGUGUGUAAGUAAAUAAUUAUAAUUGCUACAGAUUUGGGUUUUGCGUGUUUGUGUUUUGGGUAAAAGUUAGCCGAGCAGCACACACUGAAAGUCAGUGGUGCUCAACCUGUUUCAAAGUGUCAAAAACAAGAAAAUAUUUGUCAGUAUUGUUGUAAAAUUUAUACAGCGAAACGACUUACUUACCGAAUAAGGGUUUGCUAUCAGACAACACCAAAUUCUGAUCACUCUAUUUUUUCAAAACCUUCAAGUUCCAAAUCUGACACCUCGAUUGCUGAUUUUCCAGCAAUAAUUAUACUUAAUUUAUAUAUAGUAAGUAAGUAUAUAUUUACCAUGUUGCAAAUUUUCAACUAUUUGGAGUAGCUGAUUGAUUCUUUUCUCCACAAUAUACUUACAUUGACAUAUUUUACAUUCACUCCAUAACAGUUCAUACGAAGUCAUGCAUGGUGCCGGGUAUGGCAUUUGGGAAUUCUUUAAAUCAUAUUUUAAAUCCAUAUUUUUAUCGAACUGCGGUGAAUCCGUGACCCCAUGGUGGAUUUUCUAUAUACAUGACAUAUACAUUAGGGUGGCCCAAAAUUGUACUA